GACGAACGCUGGCGGCGUGCCUAACACAUGCAAGUAGAACGCACAGUUUAUACCGUAGCUUGCUUCACCAUAGACUGUGAGUUGCGAACGGGUGAUUAACGCGUAGGUAACUUGCCUGGUAGCGGGGGAUAACUAUAGGAAACGAUAGCUAAUACCGCAUCAUAUUAAUUAUUGCAUGAUUAUUAAUUGAAAGGUGCAAUUGCACCACUACUAGAUGGUCCUGAGUUGUAUUAGCUAGUAGGUGAGGUAACGGCCCACCUAGGCGGCGAUACAUAGCCGGCCUGGAAGGGUGGUCGACCACAACGGGAAUUGGGAACGGGCCAGACUCCCACGGGGAGGAAGAGUAGGGGAACAUCGGCAAAGGGGGGAAAUCUGGCCGAAGAAAGCCGGGGGGGUGAAGGAGGUUUUCGGAUCGUAAAACUCUGUUGUAAGGGAAGGACGAGUGGGAGGGUGAAAAGUUCACGCUGUGACGGUAUCUAACCAAAAAGCAACGGCUAACUACGUG
RNAcentral lists this ribosomal RNA (505 nucleotides) under uncultured bacterium. RNAcentral describes it as "partial 16S ribosomal RNA". It matches the Rfam family "Bacterial small subunit ribosomal RNA", at positions 28 to 507 of the family's 1533-position model. The record is from RNAcentral.